This 84-nucleotide transfer RNA is filed under the name Nitrospinota bacterium. RNAcentral's name for it is "tRNA-Leu". It matches the Rfam family "tRNA". Rfam says of the family: Transfer RNA (tRNA) molecules are approximately 80 nucleotides in length. Their secondary structure includes four short double-helical elements and three loops (D, anti-codon, and T loops). Further hydrogen bonds mediate the characteristic L-shaped molecular structure. tRNAs have two regions of fundamental functional importance: the anti-codon, which is responsible for specific mRNA codon recognition, and the 3' end, to which the tRNAs corresponding amino acid is attached (by aminoacyl-tRNA synthetases). tRNAs cope with the degeneracy of the genetic code in two manners: having more than one tRNA (with a specific anti-codon) for a particular amino acid; and 'wobble' base-pairing, i.e. permitting non-standard base-pairing at the 3rd anti-codon position. RNAcentral also lists the same sequence under 1 other name. The record is from RNAcentral. Lineage: Bacteria; Pseudomonadati; Nitrospinota.
GCCGAAGUGGCGGAAUUGGUAGACGCGCUAGGUUCAGGACCUAGUGUCCGCAAGGAUGUCGGGGUUCGAAUCCCCGCUUCGGCA